Erinaceus europaeus (western European hedgehog) is the source of this 1055-nucleotide long non-coding RNA. RefSeq lists it as uncharacterized. Lineage: Eukaryota; Metazoa; Chordata; Mammalia; Eulipotyphla; Erinaceidae. The record is from RefSeq and is a predicted model, not a curated record. The transcript has 2 exons.
CCCGGCAGAAUAGCUGCCCAAGAAGCCCUACAGCAUCUGAACGCCGGAGGAGCAGAGGCGACUGGGGACAGGCGCUCAGGGUGCCCCCGAACCACCGAGGGCGAGUCCUCCCGGGCGCAGCAGGGGCCGCGGGAGUCCAGGGUCCGAGUCAGGGCGGAUACAGGGGUCAGUCGUCCGGGAGCGGGAGGCCUCCUCGGAGGGCAGCCCUGCCGGCAAGUAACUGCCGCCCGAGACCCGCAGGGAAGGAGAGGCUGAGCGGAAAAAGGCCCCCGGCGGGGACAGGGGGCGCGGGCUCAGUCUCCGUCAGCGGAGAGGGAAGGGACGACCACCCACCAGUGGGCAAGAGGGGACCAGUUUCUGCCCAUAGAGAGAAGGGCGAAGCCCUGCCGGAGGGCAGCAGAGGAGGGACAGACCCCGCCGCCGGUGGCCAGGAGGAAGUAUCCGCAUUCUCCUUGUUCCCCACCGCCCUCUUGCACCUGAAUGCCGCUGUGUGUACACACCUACUCCGAAGAGGUUCUCGUUGGGCCGCCAUCUUCUCAACUAUGCUUCUUCUCAGCCAAUCAGGAGACAGUAUCACGUAGCUCGCGGUGCCGCCUUGGAUUCUGGGAGUUCUUGGUAUCCUCUGGGCAGGUCAACAUGGCCCCAGUUCCUUGGCAUUCUCUUUACCCAUGUCCUAACCCUAACCUCAGUCAUGCACACCCCUGAGGUCACACAGAGAUCUCAAAUUCCAGCUCUCUCCAAUUUUCUUUUUCUAUUUUUUAAAAAUUAUUUUUGUUUGUUUAUUGGAUAGAGACAGCCAGAAAUUGAGAGGAAGGGGGAGAGGGACAGACACUUGCAUCCCUGCUUCUCCACUCUUGAAGCUUUCCCCCUGCAGGUGGGGACUGGGGGCUUGAACCCAGGUCCUUGAGCACUGUAAUGUGUGCACUCGACCAGGUGCGCCACCACCCGGCCCCAUCUCUCCAAUUUUCUGCUUCAUUUUCGACCAUCUUAGUCAAUGUUCAUUCUUCUCGACCAUUUCUUUCUUCCCAUUGAAUAAACAAAUAGUCGGUUACCAA